ACUCACCACAGCAAGGGUUGUGGGGUGGGCUGAGAGGAGCUUGGGUGGGCUCAAACGCCUCCCUGGGGGACUCUGAGGGCCGGGGAGCUGGUGGGAAUGGUGGUCCUCACGCCCCCCAGCCUUGCUCUCAGUGGCACCAGAAGACCUGGAUACCUACUGGUCUGGCACAGCCCCCAUCUGCGUGGGGGGCUGCAAGGGCAAGCACAAGGAGCUGAAGAGGAGCCAGUGUGGGAACGGCAGCUGCUGCUGGCUGGGCUACAAAUCCUUCUGCAGAGUGAACUGCGGGCGGCCUGAGGCGGAUUUCAACUCGGUGGUGCACGGGAACGACUGGUGGGUGGGCUCCGUGGUGCGCUACAGCUGCCGGCCCGGCUUCCUGCUGCUGGGGGACGCCGCCAGCACCUGCCUCUCUGAUGGCCGCUGGACCCCCAAGCCCACCUGCCUCCGGAUCUGCCUGCGGGGCCGCAUCGAGAUCAGCGAGCGCGACAUCGCCGGGGAGUGCUCGUCGUCCUGCAGCUCCCAGGCCCACCUGGGGGCCCCCCUGAACCGCGGCUGCAUCAAGAUCUCGUCCUGUGUCACCAAGCGGUCGGGCUGGGCCCGCUGGUUCCAGCGCUGCGACAUCUGCGAGUGCGACUGCCACGUGCCCUGCGGCUCCUCCAGGUAGAGCCAGGGCUGAGGGAGGCCUCCACCCUGCGUGUCUGUCCUCUUCACCACGUGUCUCCAUUGCCUUGCUCCUUCCAUAAGCUCCAUCCAUCCCAAGGCUGCCAUCUGAGAGGAGAUGUCCUGGACUCACCCUUGCCUUGCUGUCUGGCCCCGUCCCAGGGCUCUCCAGGGGCAGGGGAUGCUCACGUCCCCUUUUAGGGGGGAGGCAGCACGUGUGCCUGUGGCUGUUCCAGGAGUGUCUGUCCCAUCAGUGCUGCAGGCCGUGAUUUCUCCUUGUGCCAGGGAUUCCCUGCACACAGGCCAGGGCUAGAUCUGCCCUCUGUGUUUGCUGCAGCCCUCAGGCAGGGCUGGAUUGUGGGAUCUGCAGAGCAGCCUGGCCAGGGAUGCAGCACCCCUUGCUGAGGAAUCAAGCGGGUCCAAACUGCCCUGGGAGCACUGGGGUCAGCACAGAUAACUGGGAGGAGAGGUUUCACCUCCCAGCUGCAAAGUCUUUCCCGUGGGCAGCUCCACACACUGACUGCUGGGCUCCUUCCAGAGGGUUUCUGGUCCUGCCCUGAGAGCCCCUUUCCCCAGGGGCCACCAAGAGACACUUGGUUCCAGCCAGGAACAGCCUUGUGCUCCCUGAGGAUUGCCCUGACUCCCCAGGAAGCAGCAAUGGAAAAGCCAGAGCUGUCAUUCCCCCAGGGAAGGAGGAGGUGGUCUGGAGCACAUGUGAUGCUGGGGGAACUGGAGGACCAGCAGCACCGCCAUGGGUAAUUAAAAAUAUAUUUACAGGAAACCACACGGGUUUUCCUGUCAUGCACAGAGGUUCUGCUGCCUGCUCUGUCCCUGGAGCCCUGAACAUCCAUGGCAGAACCAGGACAGGCUCCCCCUGCCACUGCCACUGUCCUGAAAGUGUGUGAGCCACCAUGGGGGCACAGUCAAAGCCACUGUAGGAAGGUCCUAGCUGGAGAGCAGAUGGAUGCUGAGUGUGCCCAUGGCACUGCCCACCAAGCCUGGCUUGGCACUGGACUCCAUCCCUGCUUCCUUCCACCUUGAAAUGACUCCACAGCAGGAUGCUGCAGCAGUUCCUGGUUGCUGCAUGGCCACCAGCCUGGGCUCAGGAUCUCCUGCAGCUGAGCAGGAAGGGGUUUAGCAUCAGGGGGGUCCCUCCCAGGCCCACCUUGUGCCCACCUGCAGGGAAGCAGAGCUGUUUGGCCCUGCACAGAGGGGGCCUGGGCUGUGACCUGCUAAGGGUGAGUAGCCUGGGGGUGGCAGGCAGAGUGAACUGGGUCGAGUACCACGUGCCUUUUGCUCCAUGUGGAGCUUGGCUCCAUGGCUACCUCCUCCUGCCCUCCCCUGGCCCAGCCCCUGGGCUGCUCUGCCCCGUGGCCUCCCCUGGCUUGACUGGGCUCUGCCAGGGGACCAAACCACUGCCCUGAGCUCUGUCCCAGCCCAAGGCUGGCUGUGGGAGGGGGGAAGCUCUCCUUUGCUCAACAGAUGGUUUUUUAAUUAAUACUCCUGUUUGUGCCACU
Long non-coding RNA from Myiozetetes cayanensis, 2174 nucleotides. RefSeq lists it as uncharacterized. The transcript is spliced from 4 exons. The record is from RefSeq and is a predicted model, not a curated record. NCBI's taxonomy places the organism in Eukaryota, Metazoa, Chordata, Aves, Passeriformes, Tyrannidae.